UGUAGAGGCAACUGUCUCCACGCAUGCAAAAGCCCUGAAUGUAGAAUUUGCACACUUCAUGGAACUUGAAACCGCCAAGGUCACGGGAGUGUUCAAACUGGCACCCUUCGCCCUGGAAGACAGUUAACACAUUGAAUACCGGCGGUGCUCACGGAAUUAUGUCGUAGAAUACCAGCGUUCUAAGCCCUUUUUUACGUUUUUUUGUAGACUCACAGCUUAUUAUGUGAUAGGGCCACUGAAAUAUGUUAUGACUCGUUUGAAAGUGGAGACGCUGCCCUCUUAGUAGGUGAAAACUGUGUGUCUCUACGAGCUUUUAUUGCCGAGUAAACCCACGCUAAACCGAAGUGGGUAUCCAUGGAAUUCAGCUACAAUCGGAGAUAUUGAGGUUUUUGUGAAGGGUGCGCUUCUUCAGAAUGUGACGAGUUUGAAAGGGGAUGAGUUGGUUUUAAUCACAAUUUGGUGCAAGGUUAGCUCUGACACACAUCUUCCUGCACGUCAAGACACACCUCCUGCUCUAAACCACUACGACACCGGCAAUCAAUGCCCUUCGAAAUCCACGUUUUUCACACAGACUGAACACAAGCUCUUUGCACACAUGCAGAAGGUCGGACAUUUGCUAAAAUAGUUCCCGAUGACUCCCGAAAUAAUAGCCCAACAUUGACAACAAAUCCCAAUGAUAUGAUGCUUAGAUGUAGCCCAUCCGAUCCAUAUGUAGCCAUCUAUGCUAGCUUCUGGCUUUUCACAUACAGGAAGACAGUUCAACAUAGGAGUGAAUAAUCAAAUAAACUUAUCUGGUUGGCGAUCAAACUUCUAAAUCGGAGCGCAUUACUCCAAUUACAAUUCGGGUGCCAUUUUGAUCCAAGGAGCUGGUAAAGGUCUAGGUAGCAAGCCCAGAAAGUUCAAGAUACUCCUGGCACGAUAUACAAUGGUCUCUGUGUUUACCUAUUGCGUGAAGUCAGACACAAUACACGCUACCGAUCGUAGGCUACUAGGGAAACAACAACAUAGCACGAUUCACGAAUACGGCAGCACACCUCCUGCUCUGUCACACUACGACACCAGCAAUCGAUGCCCUUUGAAAUCCCCGUUUUUCACGUGGACUGAUCACAAACUCUUUGCACACAUGCAGAGGGUGAGACAUUUGCUUAAAUAGCUCCCGAUGACUCCCGAAAUAAUAGCCCAACAUUGACAACAAAUCCAAAUGAUAUGAUGCUUAGAUGUAGCCUAGCCCAUCCGAUCCGAAUCAUAUGCGGUGGCAGAUGGACACUCCCAACUGAGAUCGCUCCCGGACGUGUAGUCCCAGGUGUUUCUAUCACUCCCGGACGUGUAGUCCCACCCGGAUCGAUAGUCUGGCUAGUGGGAGCGAGCCGACAGGGGAGCGUCCUGCGUUGGGAGCGACAAUCAGGGAAUCAUGAUAUGUAGCCAUGCUAGCUUCUGGCUUCUCACAUACAGGAAGACACAGAAACUUAUCUUUUUGGCGAUCAAACGUCCAAAUCGGAGCGCAUUACUGCAAUCACAUAUCGGGUGCCAUUUGGAUCCAAGGAUCUGGUAAAAGUCUAGCAAGUCCAGAAAGUUCAAGAUACUCCAGGCACUAUACAAUGGUGUUUAUUGCGUGAAGUCAGAGACAACACAUGCUACAGUGACCGUACUAGGGAAAUCAAUGCAGGCAGCGCGAUAGGCGACAUGGGUUGGCAUCCAGACAUCUUGAUUCAAAGUCCAAGUGACUGUGAUGCAUGAUGGUCUUCUGGUCAGAUAAACACUAAUGAAAGGAGAACGACUGGAUGUUUCAUCAGAGAACUGUCCUUAUCCUUUCCCCACUGGCAUCUACUGUACGUAGUAGGGGCCUAUUUCUUGUUUGUUACAGGAUGUUAUGAAAUCAUCAGUUGUUUGUGUGUGAAAAGUGGAGGUGGUGCGACUUGUAUGGCAUGAUUUGACUGAUGGCUGCAUUAAAAUCCAGAUGAAUUCUUUUGA
This is a long non-coding RNA of Engraulis encrasicolus (European anchovy), 1971 nucleotides long. RefSeq lists it as uncharacterized. The record is from RefSeq and is a predicted model, not a curated record. Lineage: Eukaryota; Metazoa; Chordata; Actinopteri; Clupeiformes; Engraulidae. The transcript has 2 exons.